CGGCGGACGGGUGAGUAACACGUAGGUAACCUGCCCAUAAGACUGGGAUAACCCACGGAAACGUGAGCUAAUACCAGAUAGGCAUCUUCUUCGCAUGAAGGAGAUGAGAAAGACGGUUUCGGCUGUCACUUAUGGAUGGACCUGCGGCGCAUUAGCUAGUUGGUGAGGUAACGGCUCACCAAGGCGACGAUGCGUAGCCGACCUGAGAGGGUGAUCGGCCACACUGGGACUGAGACACGGCCCAGACUCCUACGGGAGGCAGCAGUAGGGAAUCUUCCGCAAUGGGCGAAAGCCUGACGGAGCAACGCCGCGUGAGUGAUGAAGGUUUUCGGAUCGUAAAGCUCUGUUGCCAAGGAAGAACGCUCAGGAGAGUAACUGCUCUUGAGGUGACGGUACUUGAGAAGAAAGCCCCGGCUAACUACGUGCCAGCAGCCGCGGUAAUACGUAGGGGGCAAGCGUUGUCCGGAAUUAUUGGGCGUAAAGCGCGCGCAGGCGGCGAUGUAAGUUGGGUGUUUAAACCUAGGGCUCAACCUUGGGUCGCAUCC
Molecule: ribosomal RNA, 545 nt
Filed under: Paenibacillus sp. VG4-A2
Lineage: Bacteria; Bacillati; Bacillota; Bacilli; Caryophanales; Paenibacillaceae
Description: bacterial SSU rRNA
Rfam family: Bacterial small subunit ribosomal RNA
Source: RNAcentral